UACGAAGGGUGCAAACGUUGCUCGGAAUCAUUGGGCGUAAAGCGCACGUAGGCGGCUUGCCAAGUCGGACGUGAAAUCCCUCAGCUCAACUGAGGACGUGCAUCCGAAACUGGCGAGCUUGAGUACUUAAGAGGAUCGCGGAAUUCCCGGUGUAGAGGUGAAAUUCGUAGAUAUCGGGAGGAACACCAGUGGCGAAGGCGGCGAUCUGGGAAGAUACUGACGCUGAGGUGCGAAAGCGUGGGGAGCAAACAGG
This 253-nucleotide ribosomal RNA is filed under the name uncultured bacterium. RNAcentral's name for it is "partial 16S ribosomal RNA". It matches the Rfam family "Bacterial small subunit ribosomal RNA", at positions 524 to 776 of the family's 1533-position model. The record is from RNAcentral.